Molecule: ribosomal RNA, 429 nt
Filed under: uncultured archaeon
Lineage: Archaea
Description: bacterial SSU rRNA
Rfam family: Archaeal small subunit ribosomal RNA
Source: RNAcentral
CACCAGCCCCUCGAGUGGUGGGGAUGAUUAUUUGGCCUAAAGCGUCCGUAGCCGGCCGGGUAAGUUUCCCGUUAAAUCCAGCGUCUCAAGCGUUGGACUGCGGGAAAUACUGCCUGGCUAGAGAGUGGGAGAGGUCAGCGGUAUUCUGGGGGUAGGGGCGAAAUCCUUUGAUCCCCGGAGGACCACCAGUGGCGAAGGCUGCUGACUAGAACACGUCUGACGGUCAGGGACGAAAGCUGGGGUAGCGAACCGGAUUAGAUACCCGGGUAGUCCCAGCCGUAAACGAUGCAUGCUAGGUGUUGGGUUGGCCACGAGCCACCCCGGUGCCGCAGGGAAGCCGUUAAGCAUGCCGCCUGGGAAGUACGGCCGCAAGGCUGAAACUUAAAGGAAUUGGCGGGGGAGCACCACAAGGGGUGAAGCUUGCGGUUU